UGCAGCCGAGCGGUAGAGAUUCUUCGGAAUCUUGAGAGCGGCGUACGGGUGCGGAACACGUGUGCAACCUGCCUUUAUCUGGGGGAUAGCCUUUCNAAAGGAAGAUUAAUACCCCAUAAUAUAUUGAUUGGCAUCAAUUGAUAUUGAAAACUCCGGUGGAUAGAGAUGGGCACGCGCAAGAUUAGAUAGUUGGUGAGGUAACGGCUCACCAAGUCCAUGAUCUUUAGGGGGCCUGAGAGGGUGAUCCCCCACACUGGUACUGAGACACGGACCAGACUCCUACGGGAGGCAGCNGUGAGGAAUAUUGGACAAUGGGUGAGAGCCUGAUCCANCCNUCCCGCGUGAAGGACGACGGCCCUAUGGGUUGUAAACUUCUUUUGUAUAGGGAUAAACCUUUCCNCGNGUGGAAAGCUNAA
Molecule: ribosomal RNA, 416 nt
Filed under: bacterium V21
Lineage: Bacteria
Description: bacterial SSU rRNA
Rfam family: Bacterial small subunit ribosomal RNA
Source: RNAcentral